AACGAACGCUGGCGGUGGGCCUAACACAUGCAAGUCGAACGGCAGCGCAGUAAUAGCUUGCUCUUACGGGUGGCGAGUGGCGGACGGGUGAGGAAUACAACGGAAUCUACUUUUUCGUGGAGCAUAACGUAGGUAAACUUACGCUAAUACAGCAUACGCCUUCCGAGUGAAAGCAUGGGAUCUUCUGGCCUUGCGCGAUUGAAUGCGCCGAUGUCGGAUUAGCUAGUUGGCGGGGUAAUUGCCAAGCAAGUCGACGGUCCGUAGCUGGUGUGAGUGGAUGAUCAGCCACACGGGAACUUGGACACGGUCCUAACUCCUACGAGAGGCAGCAGUGGCGAAUGUUGGGCAAUAGGCGGAAAUCUGGUCCAACCAUACCGCGUGAGUGAAGAAGGCCUUCGGGUUGUAAUGCCCGUUUUUGGGGAAAGAAAAGCAGCAGGUUGAUACCCCGCUGUUCUGACGGUAACGGAUGAAUAAGCACCGGCUAACUACGUG
This 492-nucleotide ribosomal RNA is filed under the name uncultured bacterium. RNAcentral's name for it is "partial 16S ribosomal RNA". It matches the Rfam family "Bacterial small subunit ribosomal RNA", at positions 29 to 507 of the family's 1533-position model. The record is from RNAcentral.